CCAGGCCGCUUCCCUCUGCGCGCGGACGGAGACUGGGCUGCGCCGAACCGCCAAAAAACUACAUGUCCCAUGAAUCCGUGGGGCUUCUGACGUGACCGCGGCACGUGGCGCCCAGAGGGGCGGGAGUGGAGGCGGGACCGGUCGGGUCAGGGCGCGUGGCGCCAGGCUGGCCGUUGCGAGCGUUGCCUGGGGGCGUGCGGGCUGGCCGCGUACGCGGGGUUGCCAUGCGGGGGGAGGUGGGAACCGCUUGGUCUCCGCGCGCCUGCCCGAGACCCAUAGCCCCGGGGGCCGGAGUGAGGCGCGCACAGAGAGCCUUGCCCCAUAGCGCCAGGGAGGCUGACCCUAGAGCGGCUGCUGCAGCGACUCGGCCUGAGCCUGCAAUGACCAACAGAGCCGCGCUGCCGGCGUCUGCAGCGAGCCUUCACAGACUGCCUGGAGAGCCUGCACCAGUAGCCCUGUGAGAGAGGGACUGGCCCAGGAGCAACCAACACAGCGACCCUGCCUGAGUCUGCAGAGAGCCUGGACCAAUGGCCCCAAGAGAGUGGACUGAUCCCAGAGUGACCAACACAGUGACACUGCCUGAGUCUGUAGAGACCUAUAGCAUCAGAGGAGGGGACUGACCGCAUCUACAGAGAGCCAGGACCAAGAGUCCUGACUGGAGAGGGGACUGAUCCCAGCCUAAUUGACGGUGCAAUAUUUGCCCAAGUCUGCAGAGCCUGGAAUGACAGCUUUGAGAGGGAACUGCCCUGUGCAUCUCUGCAGAUUGUUAAUACCACGACUUAAAGACAAUGACACUAUCUCCCUGCUGAUCACAGCCUGAAGGAGAGGGAUGAGCAUAUUACCAACAGCUCCACAGUCUGCUGUAGGGGUUGGCUCUCUUUCUUGCCACAAAUGGGUAUUGCUUCAGUGAGGGCCACCUCUCUGAUCCCAUAGUGGAGGGCUGGCAACCAGUAUUCUGCAUGGGGGGCCCCGCUGCUCUGGGGGAUUGGGGGUGUUUCCAUUUCCUUCCUGGCUAUCUGGAGAGACCGGGGGGCCCUCCCUCCCCCUCAUGGACCAGUGGCAGUGGUGGGAGCAGCAGCAGGGUGCUCUUCCCCUCAGACUCCAAUGACUCCCUCAGAUGAAGGCUGUUGGCAGACUCAGGCAAUUAUUGCUGCGUUGCGUGUGUUUUCAUACUUUUCUUUGCAUCCAUGAGGACUAGAAACUUUCCUUUUUGUUAAAUGAAAGCUGAGAUUCUGAUAAUGACAUAGCUCUAGGAGCCAGGGUCACAUGCCUGUGCCUUAGUCUGGCCCUGCUUAUGGGGUAUCCAAACUCUGUUAAAGGGGAGCUAAGCUAUGAUGCCUAGAAAAGCCCACUUGAUCAUACUCUGAACAUCUGCCCAACCUAUUGUGAGUGGUAUCUCAUCUUGAUGCUUAGUGGGCAGAUCCUGGGGAGGACCCCUCACACCCCCAUUGCAGCCAUGGUAGUAAGGGUGUAACAAUCGAUAGUGCUGGUUUACAUGAGGCUGGCCUUUAUGUGCUGCUUACUUGUUCUCAGCACAGCUCAUUCUGCAUUGGCCAUUUCACUGUUGUGGAGCUGAUGACUGGAGCCUGAAAUUACUGCUAUUGGUGUUUUCACUGUCAUUGACUUACGAGAUGGGAAAAGGGAGAUGAUUCUGUCAGCAGCAUUCUGGAUGUCUUCAAGGAACAGAGCGCGAGUCUUCUCCCUGGAUUCAUUUAAAAGUCUUUUUUCCCUCCUGUAUGACUGACCCUCGAUAAUUAUGACCACAGCGCUGAUGGUAAUAGCUGGUACAUUGGCAGGUUGUCAGCCACUUCACGUCUAGAAUCUUGUUAGCCAAUACAUAUGCUAGGCAUAGUAUUGUAUAAGGGUUGGGAAGUUAUGUUAACUGAAUGUAGUAUUCUCUCCCCACAAUUCUUUCCACCCAUGUCAAGUUUCCCAAAACACCAUGCAUUAGGUCAGGGGUGGCUAACCUGUGGCUCUGGAGCCACAUACGGCUCUUCAGAAGUUAAUAUGUGGCUCCUUGUAUAGGCACCGACUCCAGGGCUGGAGCUACAGGGGCCAACUUUCCAGUGGGCCGGGGGGUGCUCACUGCUCAUCCCCUGGCUCUGCCACAGGCCCUGCCCCCAUUCCACCUUCCCGCUCGCUCCCCUGAGCCUGCUGUGCUGUCACUCCUCCUCCCCAGAGCCUCCUGCAUGCCACAAAACCACCGAUCAGGAGGUGUGGGGAAGGAACGGGAGGUGCUGACUGGUAAGCUGGCUGGUGGGUGAGACACUGGGAGUGGGUAGUGGGAGCUGCUUGGGGUCUGCUGACAUAUUACUGUGGCUCUUUGGCAAUGUACGUUGGUAAAUUCUGGUUCCUUCUCAGGCUCAGGUUGGCCACCCCUGCAUCAGCUGAAGUAAGCUUUGGCUUAAGUAGAUAGGAAAACUGUCAGGAUUGGGACAUAGCAAGAGGUAGGGAGUUACUCUCAUAGGCUAAUACUGGAAUAUCCCAAAGGAAAAGGACAAAUAAAAGAAUGUUCUAUCAUGGUACAAAACUAGAAGGUGCCUUCAUGCUCCUUAGUACCUGGACUGCACAUAUUCAGAACAAAGAGAUAAGGGAUACAUAAUGAUACCAGAAGAACAAGGUAGAAAGCUGAUUGGUUAUAUCUAGUUUCAGAGGAUGUAUGUAGCAUGCUUUACUUGUAAACGGGUAGGGUAUACAAAGAUGGUAUUAGGUGGUGUAAAAUUGGGAGCACACCUUCUGCAUAAGGUGAAUGUGACAACCCUGCACAAGAUGACUUCCUGGAGAUUGGUAUCAUAUUGGACCUUUUUCCAGUACUAUAUUAGUCUUAGGUUUUAACAAUAAACCAAACUGACAUUUAGUCUCUUGAAUAUAUUUCACAAUGAACCAAAGUGUGGUCAAGCAAUUCUGUCAGAAAUCUAAUCCUUUUUCCCGCUUGUAGUUGAAGUAUUCUUAUGAUAAUAUUUAUUCUCCUCUAGCUUCCUGCCAUGUAGAAUUUGUGUAGCUGCUUUGGGGUUAAUUGUCUUUGCCUCAGGAAGCUUGGUAGAAGUUAGCACUAAGGCCUUUCUCUUUCCCAUGAGUCUGUGAACUUGUGAUCCUGAUAAAGCAUGGUGAGGGUAUGUGAAUAGCAACUGUUAACAGCUAGCUUCACUGGGAGCAUAGGAGGGAAAAGCCAAUGAGAAGAUUCGCCUAUUGCAGACUGUAGUGCCCUGCCGGUUUGAUGUUUGCAUCUGCAGCCGCAUCCUCAUACAGGUGCUCCCAUUCUUCCUCCAUGCAGGCUUCCAUCUUCACCCUUGUCAUCACACCACACUCAUGUUCCAUGCCAUUGCAGUCCUUCCCACCCUUGAUCCAGGUGCUGCACUAGUUUCACUUGCUUCUGGUUCAGUGCCAGAAGUGUGCUAUAAAUAGGGCUGCAACACCCAAAAAGGUAGGUGUUGCCUUUUAUUGGCUCUUUAGGAUUUAUACAUAUAAGUUUGAAAAUGUUUGGGUUUCUUUCUUUUCAAAGAUAUUUCUAAUGUAACAGAACAAGCAGGAGAAAAAGCAAGUCCUCAGUGCUCUUCUCGGGGGUGGAGGACCCUGUCAAGAUCUCUUUAGGAUCUGAACAGAGUUGUCACAGGAGGCUACGAGCUACAGCUGUUCCUCCAUCUUCAACUCUGGGUGGGGGGGAUACUGAGACUCCAUUUGUGUCCUCCAACGAUCUGGUAAAGAGGUGGAAGAGAGGGCCUGAUAUAGGUAAUGCUAAAGAAGCACAGUGAUUCUGUCUUUGCUCUUUAUAUAUCAAAAAGAAGCAACAAAGCCAGACUUUCUUGUUUUGGCACUAUAGUUCACCCACCCUUAAUCUAUAAAGAUCUGUAGCAGGGUUCUCAUGUUCCUUCAUUUCAUGGGUUACCCUGGGCUCCCCCACUUCCAGCCUCUUUAUUCUCCCAGCCAAUUUGGGGGCCCCUGCAGGAACACCAGAACCUUUUUAGAAGUGGGGGGCCCCCCACUGGUGCCUGAACUGUGGUCCUGUCCUCUGUUCCUCCUCUUCCCCCUGGGGCCCUGCCCCCGGCCAGGCUAGAAGUCAGAGCCGGGCCACAGUAAGAGAUGCCCAAGGAGCCUGGGCUGCUGUGGUGAGUCCUGGACCCUCCACCUGCCCUGGGUGGGGGGACAGGGGACCUGAGAACAGCCCCUGGCUUGUGUCCCAGGGCAGAUGGACGGUCUAGGGCUUCCCACAGCAGCCCAGGCCCCCUCGUUGGCUCUUACCAUGGCCAGUCUCCAACUUCUGGCCUGGCCGGGAGUGGGGCCUCAGGGGAGAGGAGGAGCAGGGGGGUGAGGUUCCAUGGUGAGUGGUAUGCGGGGGGGAGGAGGGGAGAGGAGGGGCAAAAGUUCUUUGUACCCAGGCCCCAAUAAAUUUUAAUCCGCCUCUGUUAAAAGGACUCCGCAAACCAUUCCCCUAUGUAGUUUGAGAUUCAGAUGUUACCCCAAGAUUUAGAUCUCAGGCACUCCAAUGAUGGUUUACCUAAGACUAUGCAAUUUGCUUUAUGCAAAGGGGUAAUAAGAUAGUGGUCCACCGUAGAGGAAUUGCCAGGGUGUUACCAGGGGUCUUGUCUCCGACCCGCAGAGAGCUCCCCAGAGCAAGCUAAUUGUGCUAACCCCUUGGAAGGACACUGAUACCGCCUUCUGCUCAAGGAUGAACACACAGGCAGUAGUUCUUCAAAAACAAAAUAAUAUUUAUUUAGAAGAAGUAAGUAGUUACAAUGUAUCUAAUAAAGCAAGAAAGAAUAUGUAAAACACAAUAGAAUUACAUUUAAAGAGUUGUAUAAUAAAGCGGCAAAAUAAAAUAAUACAAAAAAACCACAGAAUAUACAGGAUACACCGACCAUAUAGCAGUUACACAGUAAUAGGCAUAUAGAGACCCUGCCUACACAAAGGUCUUAGUGUUAAUGUUAUAAUCCAAUGCCAUUAUUUGAUCUAAUGUAGCAUGCAUGACCUUUACACACACGUAAAAGAGACUAUUACAUUGUUACAGAUUUAAUGAAAUCGUUUGCUUAACACUAACAUCCUGUGAGCAGUGAUGGGUGGGGUGGAUCUCACUCAGACACAGGCAUCCAGCUUUAUUGACAGGCACACCCGAUCAUUCCUUUUUACCAGAGACAAAAUCACAACUUCUGCUGUUCUCACAGCCCCCCGAUACCGUCUGUAAAGGUCUUUCUGCUCUGUCACACAAGGAAGGAGGUGCUGUCAGGUUGCCGUUCAGGCUGCAGUGGUGGUUGGAACUGUUAGUACCGUCUUCCUUGGAAGCCUCGGUUUCUGCUGCCUUAGAGGCUUCCGUAGCUACUGUGUUCUAAAGCUGCUGCUCUCUAGAAGAUUCUACUGUUGCUUCUGCAGGUAGCUGCUGUCCAGAAUCUUCUUAAGAUGCUGCUGCAGUUCUUGCUGCAUCUUGAGGUUUCUGAUCUUCACCAACCCAACCAAGCCUGCUAGCUGUUGGUCUUAUAUACUGGUUGCUACUGCAAGGUGAGCUCAUUAACAUAAUUUAUUAGCCUGGCUCAGCCAAUCAGCUUCCUGUAAUUAGCAUAUUUCUAGAUCCUUCCUAUUAUGUCAUACCUAUUUUUAGAUAGCUAGGCUCCUCCCUAUGAGUUGCUGGAACUUUCCGUACCCUAACCCUGUGUCUUUUAUAGAGGAUUAUUGUGUCCACCAUUAUGGAUUUCUAACUUUAAAUGAUCACUAAUUAUUAUUUAUCUAAAGCCUUAAUCUUAAAACUAACUGCUAUUUUAUGCAAAUCAGAGUGUCCCGGUACUGUCACCACCUUACUUAUAUCAACAGGGAGAGGUGAAAUUUUUAUGAUAUUUAGCCUCCCCCCCCCUUUUUUUUCUCCCAGUUUUUCUCUGAUGGUCUCUAUCAAGGUGCUGUAAGGUUUUUCAAAACAGCUAAAAGCAAAAUCUUUCAUUACACAGAUACCUCAUCACUUCUCUGCUCAACACUAGAUCAGUUGAGGCACUUUUGCUGAUAGUUUUUGGUUUGCUCUCUUGAGACACUAUGUCUUCUGCCUCUUUUGACGCCUGACUUACACAAUGUCUGUUUUAUCUGUGACGUGCCCACAUGCCAUUGCAAUAAAAUAAAUCCUGCAGUUCUGUUUUUUCCCAUAACUGUGGGGGGAUUCCAAUUACCUCUGAGACGUCAUUUAAAAAAACGUGGUGUUAUCCUUUUCUAUUCCACAUUUCUCUCUUACACCCUCCCCCCCCCAGACCUGAGUGUCUUUGGGGACCUUGCCUUGAUUCUCAACCCCAUCUCUCCUAUCCAGCUUUUUUGACUAAAACUUGGUGCUGUAGUUUCACCAGGUGAUCUGACACUUCUUGCCUCCACUGUACAGUGACUUGGGCUAUGUCAAUGCGACAGCGGCACGGCUACAGCGCCACUGUAGCACUUCUGGUGAAGACACUCUAAGCCACUGGUUUAGUAACUCCUGCCUUCAUGAGAGGCAGUAGCUAUGUUGACAGGAGAAGCUCUCCCGCCGACGUAGCACUGUCCACAGAAGUGCUUAGGUUGGUAUAACUUACAUCCCUCAGAGAUGUGGAUUAUUCAUGCCCCUGAGCGACAUAAAUUAUACUGAAGUAAUUUGUAAUAUAGACAUAGCCUUGCUAGUUAAUUAAUAUAUUAUUCUGAUUAGUUUUUUAAUGAGAGAUGCAAUGUGUUACUCUAGUUCAGUGAAUCUCUUUUGAAGUUACAGGGGGCAAAGAGUGAAUGUGUUAUUGCACUGGAAGAGGAAAGACUAGUCUUUUCUCUCUCUGGGAUUGCAUUAUCUACUUCUCGUCCCUGGAUAGAGAGCACUCUGAUUCAGCCAUUCCUGCCAGGGAGCCACAAACUCUCCUUCAGAUCCUGUGGAAGUUAGAACUGCACAGGAUGAGAGCUCUCUAGGAUUUUUUGAUGGGGUGUGGGGAGGGCGCAAGAAGUAUUUGAAGGCAGGGACUGGCCACUUUCCAUGGCAUUGCCCCUUGCAGGCCCUACAGAUGUCCUCGGAGAUUGGGAGUUAAUGUUGUUUGAAACACCAUUAUCUCCCAUGGAGCCUCCCUUCAUUGUGGAGAAACAGGCAAUGGCAAGCAGCUCCUUGCAGGCAUGGUGCAAAAAGAGAGGGAAGCAAAGAAGCCGGUGCAUGAGACUGACUGGUCUAGGACACCUUUUCUCUGGAUGUCACCAGGAUCACCAGCUUGGGAGGCUGUGCCCUUUCCACAUACUCCAAGAGCCCUCCCACUUGAGGGCAAAAUCACUGGGAAACUCCAUGAGGACAAAGUUUCCUGGCUCCUGUGAUCUGCUGCCAUAGUCUUUCCUGUGUGCGCAGGAUGACCUGUUUCCGAUUUCUAUGAUUAAUUACUGUCACAGCGUAGGAAGGGUUGGCUUGUGGCUACAGCACUGGACUGAGGCCCCAAACACCUGGUUUCAAUUCCUGGCUCAACCACAAAUUCCUUGUGUGAUUUUGAGCAAGUCACAUAACUUACCCUGUGACUCAGUUCCUCGUCUGUAAUAUAGAGAUACUAAUUCUUUACUUCCCAGGGAAAUUUGGAAGAUAAAACCCAUUAAUGAUUAUGAACUGCUCAGAUACUACAGUGAGGACUAAAUGCCUAGAUACAUUUAUCUCUGGAAAGGUAUUUUUAUCUGUUAAAAGAUCAAGAGUAAAAGUUGCUUGUCACACAACACUCAAAGUUGAAUAUUGGUUUAGUUUUAUUUGUAGGCACUUGCAGGCCUUUGUGCAUGAGAGCUUUUUAUUAUAAACACAGAACACCUUCCAGUGGGGCAUCAGAAAACAUGGGCUACAUAUCUGCUAUGUGGUGGUUGAUCUCUCACCCUCUCCACAGGGGGAGAUGCACGUGUGCUGAAGUGUCUUGUUUUGGUAGGGGUUUAGGUUGUUUGUUGCUAUGUAUUUAUAUAAAGCAUAAUGGGCUCUUUCAUGGCUUAUUGCUACAGGGAUGAUUGUGCCAUAAGAACCUCUAUAGAAUAGACUGUAUUUUUAUCAAAAGUUGUGCAAAAAUCAAACACCUCAAAUGUUUUGUGUUAAAUAAAUAUUUGAUGCAACCUCUUA
Molecule: long non-coding RNA, 8050 nt
Organism: Caretta caretta (loggerhead turtle)
Lineage: Eukaryota; Metazoa; Chordata; Testudines; Cheloniidae
Source: RefSeq, a predicted model, not a curated record